AGUUGGUUCGCUUGGACGCGAUUAAAAGGGAACCGGGUGAGAAUCCCGGACAGACCCGCUGCUGUAAGUUCUGUAAUCCGACAUCACGAUGCCACUGACACGUGCAAGAGUGCCCGGUCGGGAAGGCGAUGGCGGAUGGAAUAAGUCAGAAGACCUGCCAAUAUUUAU
RNAcentral lists this non-coding RNA (168 nucleotides) under human gut metagenome. The record is from RNAcentral.